This is a long non-coding RNA of Mustela lutreola (European mink), 2679 nucleotides long. RefSeq lists it as uncharacterized. The record is from RefSeq and is a predicted model, not a curated record. The transcript is spliced from 4 exons. NCBI's taxonomy places the organism in Eukaryota, Metazoa, Chordata, Mammalia, Carnivora, Mustelidae.
UGGGGCUCUGCACACGGCCGCUCACUCGGUUCCCCGAAGUCGCCUCCGUGAGCCCCGGGCCACCUCGCAUGACGGAGGGCCGGGUGCAGAGCGGGAACGCCGCGUGCCUGGUGGCUGGGCCCUGUGCCCAGCACUCUGCCCCCGUCCUCUGGCGUGCACACCUCCCGCCCUCCUGGCCUGUGCCUGAACUCAUCUGCGGAGGGGACAGGGAGGUGGGGUAAGCUGGGAAGAAGUGGGGAACUCUGCUUGGAUAGAAAAAUCGGCUGGAAGUGCAGAUUACAAAAACCACUGGCAGGAGAAUGAGUGAGAGAAAGCACAAGCAGGGGGAGCAGCAGAGGGAGAGAGAGGGAGAAGCAGGCUCCCCACUAAGCAGGGAGCCUGUUUUCAGAGCUGGAUCCAAGGACCCCGGGAUCAGGAUCAGAGCCAAAAGAAGACAAUUAACCGACUGAACCACCCAGGCACCCCUGAAUUUUGUUUUUAAACACAACAUUGUGAGAGAGAUCACAAGUAGGCAGAGAGGCAAGCAGAGAGAGAGGAGGAAGCAGGCUCCCUGCCGAGCAGAGAGCCCAAUGCGGGACUCCAUCCCAGGACCCUGAGAUCAUGACCUGAGCUGAAGGCAGAGGCUUAACCCACUGAGCCACCCAGGUGCCCCUGGAGCUGACUUUCUAAAGCCUUUUGCCUCUAGGAGAAAAGCCUGAAAAUAAAGCCCUCGCAAAGGAAAUGGAGACUGACCUCACUGGAACACCUGGACCCAGCCAUCCCUGAAGCCGUUCGUUAUAUUUGGGAGAAGAAGUCACUGGGUCCAGGCCACACUCAAGGAGAGGGGACACGCGAGAGCCUGGAGCAGUGGAGCAGACUCCAGAGCAGUGGAGUGCGGCACCAUGGCAUCACGGAGGCCAUCUUGAAAGUCUGACUACCCUGGGCGAAGGUGGGGGGAAAUGCUUUCUGCCUGCGGGCCCUUUGCACGGGCUGCUUUCUUUGCCUAAAAUGCUCCCUCCAUCCCUGUCCCUUUCAUUUGUUGGGUUCCAGUGUAAGGCCACUUCCUCAGAAAGGCCUUCCUGGGACCCCAAAUAUUGGAGUCUCUCUGUCAUCUGCAAACAUAUGCCUUCUCUGUGGCACUUAUUACAAUGACGGGCACGAGUGACAGAGCAGCUAGUAUUUAUGUCCUCCUGAUCCUGUGCCAGGUGCUCAGGGCUGUACAUGUGCGAACUCACUUGAUUUUUCUGACAGUGCCCUAAGAUAGGGCUGGUCGUCACCUACAUUUUACAGGGGGAGAGACUGAGGCUCAGAGAGACUGUGUAACACUGCUGCAAGCCACUCGCUGGUCAAGGGCCCAGCCAGGCGGUCUUUCCCCAGAGCCUGUGCGCUUAGGCCUCUGCCACACAGCCUCCCCCAGCAGCUAGUGCACUGUGUGAGUUUUUUGUUGUUGUUGCUUAAUCUCUGAUGUCCCACUAGGCCGUGGGCUGUGUCUGCUGUGCUCCCUGUCCUAGCUCUGGCACCUGGCACAGUGCCCAACUUGUGGUGGGUGCUUAAUAAUGCAAAGCAAUGGAGAAGAUGGAGUCUAGCCAGAAGCCAGUAAGAAGGCUCCUUGAAGAGCGAGACCUGCCUGGUGCAGAGUCCACUUUGAAAGCCUGCAUUCAGGGGGGCAGCUAAACACCCACUGGCAUCCUUCCCUUCUUAGUAACUUGACCUCAACCUCCCUUUUCUGUCCCCAAGCACUUCCACCCUAGGAUCCUAGGGCGUCCCACACCCUCUUCUAAACACAUGUGACACUCCCACUCCACAUUUUUGCUCCCUCCUUCCAUCCCUAAAAACCGACUGCAGAUGCCUCCUCCUCUGAGGAGUCUUCCCUGAUCUCCCAACCUGGUGGAGUCUCUCCCUUCUUAAAGCCACCAGAGCCUCUGCUUGUACUUCCUCACCCACCCUGGGCCUCAGCCUCCUGAACUCUAAAAUGAGGAGAGCCUGGGUGCCAUGGUCUUCAAGUUUCUUCCAGCUUCUAAAGCAUCCGGGAUUAAGGAGGGCAGGUGAUAUAAUGAGCACUGCGAAUUAUAUAAGACGGAUGCAUCACUGACCUCUACCUCAGAAGCUAAUAAUACAUUCUAUAUUAACUAACUGAAUGUAAAUUAAAAAUUAUAUAAAGCAUCCAGGAUUCCACUCCGGAUUUUUGUGAUGGCUUUACCCUCCCCACGGGUCUCUGAAUUCCCUGAAGGGCCGAGACAAUUUCCUUUCCUCUCUCCUCAGUGUCUACCACAGAGCUUGGUGAUUUUUAGGCAUUCAUAAAUAUAAACGAUUUGAGGGGGCCAGUUGAGAUAGCAGCUCGGUGGAGAUGUAUGUCUCCUGUGUCUGCUCAAAAUCCCAUGGAAAGAGGGAAAAGAUCAUUCAUUAAAAGGCUGAGUAAUGGAAAACUCUAAAAAAUGCCACCAGAAGGAAUCAUACUCCCUGAUUUUGAACUAUAUUAUAAAACUGUAAUAAUCAAAACAGUAUGGUAUUGGCAUAAAAAUAGUCAAAUAGAUGAAGGGAACAGAAUAGGAAGCCCAGAAAUAAACCCAUGCAUACAUGAUCAAUUAAUUUACAACAAAGGAGCCAAGAAUAUAGAAGGGAGAAAGGACUGUCUCUCCAAUAAAUGGUGUUGGGAAAACUGGACAGCCACACGCAAAAGAAUGAAACUGACCACUAUCU